GAUGAACGCUGGCGGCGUGCCUAAUACAUGCAAGUCGAGCGAACGGACGAGAAGCUUGCUUCUCUGAUGUUAGCGGCGGACGGGUGAGUAACACGUGGAUAACCUACCUAUAAGACUGGGAUAACUUCGGGAAACCGGAGCUAAUACCGGAUAAUAUUUUGAACCGCAUGGUUCAAAAGUGAAAGACGGUCUUGCUGUCACUUAUAGAUGGAUCCGCGCUGCAUUAGCUAGUUGGUAAGGUAACGGCUUACCAAGGCAACGAUGCAUAGCCGACCUGAGAGGGUGAUCGGCCACACUGGAACUGAGACACGGUCCAGACUCCUACGGGAGGCAGCAGUAGGGAAUCUUCCGCAAUGGGCGAAAGCCUGACGGAGCAACGCCGCGUGAGUGAUGAAGGUCUUCGGAUCGUAAAACUCUGUUAUUAGGGAAGAACAUAUGUGUAAGUAACUGUGCACAUCUUGACGGUACCUAAUCAGAAAGCCACGGCUAACUACGUGCCAGCAGCCGCGGUAAUACGUAGGUGGCAAGCGUUAUCCGGAAUUAUUGGGCGUAAAGCGCGCGUAGGCGGUUUUUUAAGUCUGAUGUGAAAGCCCACGGCUCAACCGUGGAGGGUCAUUGGAAACUGGAAAACUUGAGUGCAGAAGAGGAAAGUGGAAUUCCAUGUGUAGCGGUGAAAUGCGCAGAGAUAUGGAGGAACACCAGUGGCGAAGGCGACUUUCUGGUCUGUAACUGACGCUGAUGUGCGAAAGCGUGGGGAUCAAACAGGAUUAGAUACCCUGGUAGUCCACGCCGUAAACGAUGAGUGCUAAGUGUUAGGGGGUUUCCGCCCCUUAGUGCUGCAGCUAACGCAUUAAGCACUCCGCCUGGGGAGUACGACCGCAAGGUUGAAACUCAAAGGAAUUGACGGGGACCCGCACAAGCGGUGGAGCAUGUGGUUUAAUUCGAAGCAACGCGAAGAACCUUACCAAAUCUUGACAUCCUUUGACAACUCUAGAGAUAGAGCUUUCCCCUUCGGGGGACAAAGUGACAGGUGGUGCAUGGUUGUCGUCAGCUCGUGUCGUGAGAUGUUGGGUUGAGUCCCGCAACGAGCGCAACCCUUAAGCUUAGUUGCCAUCAUUAAGUUGGGCACUCUAAGUUGACUGCCGGUGACAAACCGGAGGAAGGUGGGGAUGACGUCAAAUCAUCAUGCCCCUUAUGAUUUGGGCUACACACGUGCUACAAUGGACAAUACAAAGGGCAGCGAAACCGUGAGGUCAAGCAAAUCCCAUAAAGUUGUUCUCAGUUCGGAUUGUAGUCUGCAACUCGACUUCAUGAAGCUGGAAUCGCUAGUAAUCGUAGAUCAGCAUGCUACGGUGAAUACGUUCCCGGGUCU
This 1372-nucleotide ribosomal RNA is filed under the name uncultured bacterium. Its description in RNAcentral is "bacterial SSU rRNA". It matches the Rfam family "Bacterial small subunit ribosomal RNA", at positions 28 to 1381 of the family's 1533-position model. The record is from RNAcentral.